RNAcentral lists this ribosomal RNA (272 nucleotides) under uncultured bacterium. RNAcentral describes it as "partial small subunit ribosomal RNA". It matches the Rfam family "Bacterial small subunit ribosomal RNA", at positions 26 to 285 of the family's 1533-position model. The record is from RNAcentral.
AGAAUCAACGCUGGCGGCGUGCCUAACACAUGCAAGUCGAACGCGAAAGUCCCGCAAGGGGCAAGUAGAGUGGCAAACGGGUGAGUAACGCGUGGGUGACCUACCUUAGAGUGGGGGGAUAACCUUCCGAAAGGAGGGCUAAUACCGCAUGACAUCCUAUGUUUAGAGACAUGGUGAUCAAAGCCGGGGAUCGCAAGACCUGGCGCUUGAAGAGGGGCCCGCGUCCGAUUAGCUAGUUGGUGGGGUAACGCUCACCAAGGCUCCGAUCGGUA